GGGGUCGUUGUCUAGUAUGGUCUAAGAUGCAUGGCUCGGGUCCAUGAGAUCGUGGGUUCAAAUCCCACCGACCCCA
This 76-nucleotide transfer RNA is filed under the name Nitrososphaerales archaeon. RNAcentral's name for it is "tRNA-Pro". It matches the Rfam family "tRNA". Rfam says of the family: Transfer RNA (tRNA) molecules are approximately 80 nucleotides in length. Their secondary structure includes four short double-helical elements and three loops (D, anti-codon, and T loops). Lineage: Archaea; Thermoproteati; Nitrososphaerota; Nitrososphaeria; Nitrososphaerales. The record is from RNAcentral.